GAUGAACGCUGGCGGCAUGCCUAAUACAUGCAAGUCGAGCGAACAGACGAGGAGCUUGCUCCUCUGACGUUAGCGGCGGACGGGUGAGUAACACGUGGAUAACCUACCUAUAAGACUGGGAUAACUUCGGGAAACCGGAGCUAAUACCGGAUAAUAUAUUGAACCGCAUGGUUCAAUAGUGAAAGACGGUUUUGCUGUCACUUAUAGAUGGAUCCGCGCCGCAUUAGCUAGUUGGUAAGGUAACGGCUUACCAAGGCAACGAUGCGUAGCCGACCUGAGAGGGUGAUCGGCCACACUGGAACUGAGACACGGUCCAGACUCCUACGGGAGGCAGCAGUAGAGAAUCUUCCGCAAUGGGCGAAAGCCUGACGGAGCAACGCCGCGUGAGUGAUGAAGGUCUUCGGAUCGUAAAACUCUGUUAUUAGGGAAGAACAAAUGUGUAAGUAACUAUGCACGUCUUGACGGUACCUAAUCAGAAAGCCACGGCUAACUACGUG
Molecule: ribosomal RNA, 497 nt
Filed under: uncultured bacterium
Lineage: Bacteria
Description: partial 16S ribosomal RNA
Rfam family: Bacterial small subunit ribosomal RNA
Source: RNAcentral